CUUGGCUCGAGAAAAUUACUCCUGGCGUUUACGAAAACAGUCAAAUGAUCAUCAAGGUUUAAAUAAAUUGCUUCGACGGAAUGAAUGGAACCACAGGAUCGUCGUAGAUACCUCGGAAAAGAUCAUCAAGCACUUGACCUCGCACCUAACUCGCAUCUAAUCGGUCAUCCGGCUGUCUACGUUAAACGAUAUACGUUUCUGCUUUCUUUACGUUGAAGCUGUUAUAAGAUUCCGUCCAACAGAGGAUACAAGAUUCGCGACGAAUUCCCGUCGGUACGCCGGAAAACGAAUCCCACCAAAUGUUGACAGCCGCACCUCGAAACGCGUCGCUGAUGAGGCACAGAUUUAAAGAAAAGUAGCAGAAAAGAAUGUUGCUUGGUUUUUGAUUUGAAAAGGAUAAUAAAAUAGAAGCGCAAAAUAACUCGUUCUUCUUGCCAUUCUCAAUGUUUUUAUUUUAAAUUGGAAAACAUAAAUUUAUAAUUCACAUGUGAAAUUGAGAGUGACUACAACUAGUUGUUUUGAAAGUAUC
This is a long non-coding RNA of Armigeres subalbatus, 529 nucleotides long. RefSeq lists it as uncharacterized. The transcript has 3 exons. Lineage: Eukaryota; Metazoa; Arthropoda; Insecta; Diptera; Culicidae. The record is from RefSeq and is a predicted model, not a curated record.